GAUGAAGAACGCAGCGAAAUGCGAUAAGUAAUGUGAAUUGCAGAAUUCAGUGAAUCAUUGAAUCUUUGAACGCACAUUGCGCCCCCUGGUAUUCCGGGGGGCAUGCCUGUUCGAGCGUCAUUUCACCACUCAAGCCUCGCUUGGUAUUGGGCAACGCGGUCCGCCGCGUGCCUCAAAUCGACCGGCUGGGUCUUCUGUCCCCUAAGCGUUGUGGAAACUAUUCGCUAAAGGGUGUUCGGGAGGCUACGCCGUAAAACAACCCCAUUUCUAAGGUUGACCUCGGAUCAGGUAGGGAUACCCGCUGAACUUAAGCAUAUCAAUAAGCGGAGGA
This 331-nucleotide unclassified non-coding RNA is filed under the name soil metagenome. RNAcentral's name for it is "partial contains 5.8S ribosomal RNA, internal transcribed spacer 2, and large subunit ribosomal RNA". The stretch from base 1 to 120 matches the Rfam family "5.8S ribosomal RNA", at positions 35 to 154 of the family's 154-position model. The record is from RNAcentral.